This is a transfer RNA of 88 nucleotides. It matches the Rfam family "tRNA". Rfam says of the family: Transfer RNA (tRNA) molecules are approximately 80 nucleotides in length. Their secondary structure includes four short double-helical elements and three loops (D, anti-codon, and T loops). The record is from Rfam.
GGCGCGAUGGCGGAGUGGUUAACGCGAGAGACUAGAAUUAGCUUAUCUCUUCCCUUCGGGGGCGUAGGUUCGAAUCCUGCUCGCGUCG